RNAcentral lists this ribosomal RNA (1283 nucleotides) under Staphylococcus aureus. RNAcentral describes it as "partial 23S ribosomal RNA". It matches the Rfam family "Bacterial large subunit ribosomal RNA", at positions 913 to 2196 of the family's 2925-position model. The record is from RNAcentral. Lineage: Bacteria; Bacillati; Bacillota; Bacilli; Caryophanales; Staphylococcaceae.
UUUGGACGAGGGGCCCCUCUCGGGUUACCGAAUUCAGACAAACUCCGAAUGCCAAUUAAUUUAACUUGGGAGUCAGAACAUGGGUGAUAAGGUCCGUGUUCGAAAGGGAAACAGCCCAGACCACCAGCUAAGGUCCCAAAAUAUAUGUUAAGUGGAAAAGGAUGUGGCGUUGCCCAGACAACUAGGAUGUUGGCUUAGAAGCAGCCAUCAUUUAAAGAGUGCGUAAUAGCUCACUAGUCGAGUGACACUGCGCCGAAAAUGUACCGGGGCUAAACAUAUUACCGAAGCUGUGGAUUGUCCUUUGGACAAUGGUAGGAGAGCGUUCUAAGGGCGUUGAAGCAUGAUCGUAAGGACAUGUGGAGCGCUUAGAAGUGAGAAUGCCGGUGUGAGUAGCGAAAGACGGGUGAGAAUCCCGUCCACCGAUUGACUAAGGUUUCCAGAGGAAGGCUCGUCCGCUCUGGGUUAGUCGGGUCCUAAGCUGAGGCCGACAGGCGUAGGCGAUGGAUAACAGGUUGAUAUUCCUGUACCACCUAUAAUCGUUUUAAUCGAUGGGGGGACGCAGUAGGAUAGGCGAAGCGUGCGAUUGGAUUGCACGUCUAAGCAGUAAGGCUGAGUAUUAGGCAAAUCCGGUACUCGUUAAGGCUGAGCUGUGAUGGGGAGAAGACAUUGUGUCUUCGAGUCGUUGAUUUCACACUGCCGAGAAAAGCCUCUAGAUAGAAAAUAGGUGCCCGUACCGCAAACCGACACAGGUAGUCAAGAUGAGAAUUCUAAGGUGAGCGAGCGAACUCUCGUUAAGGAACUCGGCAAAAUGACCCCGUAACUUCGGGAGAAGGGGUGCUCUUUAGGGUUAACGCCCAGAAGAGCCGCAGUGAAUAGGCCCAAGCGACUGUUUAUCAAAAACACAGGUCUCUGCUAAACCGUAAGGUGAUGUAUAGGGGCUGACGCCUGCCCGGUGCUGGAAGGUUAAGAGGAGUGGUUAGCUUCUGCGAAGCUACGAAUCGAAGCCCCAGUAAACGGCGGCCGUAACUAUAACGGUCCUAAGGUAGCGAAAUUCCUUGUCGGGUAAGUUCCGACCCGCACGAAAGGCGUAACGAUUUGGGCACUGUCUCAACGAGAGACUCGGUGAAAUCAUAGUACCUGUGAAGAUGCAGGUUACCCGCGACAGGACGGAAAGACCCCGUGGAGCUUUACUGUAGCCUGAUAUUGAAAUUCGGCACAGCUUGUACAGGAUAGGUAGGAGCCUUUGAAACGUGAGCGCUAGCUUACGUGGAGGCGCUGGUGGG